GAAGAUGCCACAUGAGGAUCAUCUGAAGGUUAUUGAAGAGAAGAAGACUUAGCUGUCAUCUCAGAAGUUCAAGAAAAGCUACAUAAGCUGCAGAGGGCCUAAUGGGAUCAGAGGUGACGUUUAAUAACACAAAUGGGAUAUGAAGUGAACACCAACCAUAAGGCACGGUGCCCACUGUGGCUUGGAGAUUGAAAAGGUAUCAAGUCCAUAUUUGUUUCAUAGGAGGAA
Phascolarctos cinereus (koala) is the source of this 228-nucleotide long non-coding RNA. RefSeq lists it as uncharacterized. The record is from RefSeq and is a predicted model, not a curated record. Lineage: Eukaryota; Metazoa; Chordata; Mammalia; Diprotodontia; Phascolarctidae.